AUACGUAGGGGGCAAGCGUUAUCCGGAUUUACUGGGUGUAAAGGGAGCGUAGACGGCGAAGCAAGUCUGAAGUGAAAGGACGGGGCCCAACCCCGGAACUGCUUUGGAAACUGUUUGGCUGGAGUGCGGGAGGGGUAAGCGGAAUUCCUAGUGUAGCGGUGAAAUGCGUAGAUAUUAGGAGGAACACCGGUGGCGAAGGCGGCUUACUGGACCGUAACGGACGUUGAGGCUCGAAGGCGUGGGGAGCAAACAGGAUUAGAUACCCUGGUAGUCCACGCGGUAAACGAUGAUCACUAGGUGUCCGUGGGUAUGACCCAUGGGUGCCGCAGCCAACGCAAUAAGUGAUCCACCUGGGGAGUACGUUCGCAAGAAUGAAACUCAAAGGAAUUGACGGGG
RNAcentral lists this ribosomal RNA (396 nucleotides) under uncultured bacterium. RNAcentral's name for it is "partial 16S ribosomal RNA". It matches the Rfam family "Bacterial small subunit ribosomal RNA", at positions 523 to 918 of the family's 1533-position model. The record is from RNAcentral.